ACUGCUCAGUAACACGUGAUCAACUUACCCUAUGGAGAAAGAUAACCUCGGGAAACUGAGGAUAAUAUUUCAUAAUUGAAGAUGCCUGGAAGGGUUUUUCAAUAAAAGAGCAAUUAAAAUGGUGAUUGUAUCGCCAUAGGAUAGGAUCGCGCCCGAUUAUGGCUGUUGGUGAGGUAACGGCUCACCAAACCUAUUAUCGGUAAGGGCCGUGAGAGCGGGAGCCCUGAGAUGGGUACUGAGACAAUGACCCAGGUCUUACGAGACGCAGCAGGCGCGAAACCUUCACAAUGCACGAAAGUGUGAUGAGGUUACCCGGAGUGCUACAAAGUAGCUGUGGUAGGUGAGUAGGAUUCCCUACUAGAAAGGAGAGGGCAAGGCUGAUGCCAGCCGCCGCGGUAAAACCAGCUCUUCAAGUGGUCGGGACUUUUAUUGGGCUUAAAGUGUCCGUAGCCUGUUUAGUUAGUUCCUGGUUAAAUCAGAUAGCUUAACUGUCUGUUUGCUAAGAAUACUACUAUACUAGGGGGCGGGAGAGGUCUGAGGUACUCCGGGGGUAGCGGUGAAAUGCUUUAAUCCUCGGGGGACCACCAGUGGCGAAGGCGUCAGACUGGAACGCGCCCGACGGUGAGGGACGAAAGCCAGGGGAGCGAACCGGAUUAGAUACCCGGGUAGUCCUGGCUGUAAACGAUGCGUGCUAGGUGUUGGUAUGGCUAUGAGCCGUAUCAGUGCCGUAGGGAAACCGUUAAGCGCGCCGCCUGGGGAGUACGGUCGCAAGACUGAAACUUAAAGGAAUUGGCGGGGGAGCACCACAAGGGGUGAAGCCUGCGGUUCAAUUGGAUUCAACGCCGGG
This 847-nucleotide ribosomal RNA is filed under the name uncultured archaeon. RNAcentral's name for it is "bacterial SSU rRNA". It matches the Rfam family "Archaeal small subunit ribosomal RNA", at positions 85 to 922 of the family's 1478-position model. The record is from RNAcentral.